This 468-nucleotide ribosomal RNA is filed under the name uncultured bacterium. RNAcentral's name for it is "partial 16S ribosomal RNA". It matches the Rfam family "Bacterial small subunit ribosomal RNA", at positions 28 to 507 of the family's 1533-position model. The record is from RNAcentral.
GACGAACGCUGGCGGCGUGCUUAACACAUGCAAGUCGAACGGAAAGGCCCUGCUUUUGUGGGGUGCUCGAGUGGCGAACGGGUGAGUAACACGUGAGUAACCUGCCCUUGACUUUGGGAUAACUUCAGGAAACUGGGGCUAAUACCGGAUAGGAGCUCCUGCUGCAUGGUGGGGGUUGGAAAGUUUCGGCGGUUGGGGAUGGACUCGCGGCUUAUCAGCUUGUUGGUGGGGUAGUGGCUUACCAAGGCUUUGACGGGUAGCCGGCCUGAGAGGGUGACCGGCCACAUUGGGACUGAGAUACGGCCCAGACUCCUAUGGGAGGCAGCAGUGGGGAAUAUUGCACAAUGGGCGGAGGCCUGAUGCAGCAACGCCGCGUGCGGGAUGACGGCCUUCGGGUUGUAAACCGCUUUCGCCUGUGACGAAGCGUGAGUGACGGUAAUGGGUAAAGAAGCACCGGCUAACUACGUG